RNAcentral lists this unclassified non-coding RNA (345 nucleotides) under soil metagenome. RNAcentral describes it as "partial contains 5.8S ribosomal RNA, internal transcribed spacer 2, and large subunit ribosomal RNA". The stretch from base 1 to 120 matches the Rfam family "5.8S ribosomal RNA", at positions 35 to 154 of the family's 154-position model. The record is from RNAcentral.
GAUGAAGAACGUAGCGAAAUGCGAUAAGUAAUGUGAAUUGCAGAAUUCAGUGAAUCAUCGAAUCUUUGAACGCACAUUGCGCCCUCUGGUAUUCCGGGGGGCAUGCCUGUCCGAGCGUCAUUUGCAACCCUCAAGCCCGGCUUGUGUGAUGGGUGCCGUCCCCUACGGGACGCGCCCCGAAGGCAAUGGCGGCGUCGCGGUUAUCCGAUCAGCCAAAGUGUAUGGGGCUUUGUCACUCACUUUACGGCCCGGUCCGGCGCCAGUCCGAAUCAAUCUUUUUUCUAAAGUUGACCUCGGAUCAGGUAGGGAUACCCGCUGAACUUAAGCAUAUCAAUAAGCGGAGGA